Molecule: long non-coding RNA, 2383 nt
Organism: Passer domesticus (house sparrow)
Lineage: Eukaryota; Metazoa; Chordata; Aves; Passeriformes; Passeridae
Exons: 3
Source: RefSeq, a predicted model, not a curated record
AAUUCAGCUAAAGGGGACACGCACAUGGGAAAUUCUAACUCCUUUAGUUAACAUUUAGCAAAAUUUGUAUCAGCUGAAAGCAGGGUCUUAUUGAGUGUAGGUAGUGUAAAGUGUUUUUGUAGUGAGGGAUAACAGCUUUAUCUGCCACAGGUGAGUGUGGGUAUGCACACAGGCUGGGAGGGUGGUGCUGGCACAACCCCUUUGACAAAUCACAUUUACCUGAGACCAAACACAUGCCAAAUCAAAAGGAAGGCCCUAAGCUCUUGGGAUGGGUUUGGGAAUAAUGUUCUGAACAGGGUUAGGGUGAAAUUGUGCUAAGGCAGAGAUAGUGUUGGUCCACUAGCUGCAAACCUGGGAUUUUGCUCUGACCCAGGGGUAAAAGCAAUGUGGAAAUCCUCUGUAACCAAAUAGUCACCCCUCAUGUUUUUAUACCCUGAAAGGGUUUGAGAUAAUUAGCACAUUCACAUCCAGGUGACACAUCUGGUGCCUGUAUAUAUGUGUGUAUAUUUAUAGCCAGCCAAAAUCUAACACCACUGCAUAUUGAAAUGGUCAAAGUAGAGAGGACUCUCUUGCUGAGCAGAAUGGCAGCAGAAGACAAUUAGUGCACAGAUAAAGGAAUUGUGUUAUCUCCUGGUGCUGUUCAAGUUGUUGGGAAUUUUCCUUUGACGCCAGCAGUGAUGGGAGCUGAACUGAGACACUUGCCUUUUUAUGGACACAUUUUUCUUUUCAGCUCAGAGAUAAAGAUUUUUGGAGGAGGAAGGCAGUGACUAUCAAGACAGAAGAUGGCCGUGAAGGCAGCAAUUGCCUUGGCAGGUCUGAGUGCUGUGGCACCCAAACACAAAUGCUUGAACAGGAGGGAAGAGAACUCGAAACUGGGACCCUCCUAGGAGAGAAAUAGUGCAGAGCAAGUGAAGGGGAGCACAGGACAGCAGGACAGAGGGAGGAUUUAAGCCUUUCCAAUACAAGCCAGGAGUAAUAGCUGGGAGAGAUCUUGGAUUUCUAUGGAUUUUGGCUCAGACCAGACUUCUUUCCACUUCCCAAGGAAAGUGCACUGAUAGCCUGAUUUAUGCACCCACCUUUUGCUGGGACUUAAUGAACGAUUUUAUGGCACACAGCUUUUCCAGCAGUGUAUGCUGGCCUCCCUGCACAGCAAUAAUUGCACAGCAGAUGUGUAUGGCCAUGGGACAUCCAGCUGAUGACAAAAGGUGUGGUGACAGGAGUGACUCUGCAUUUCUCUCCUUUCUCUUCUUCCCAGGUUCUCCCAGGCAGGAAACACUGCCAAGGACAGGCUGGAAGUUCACGUAGCUUUCCUGUGGAUUGAACCUUCUUUCUUUCUGACUGUGUUCUUACAUUUCAGUGAGGCACAUCAGCCCUUGAGGGACAUUGCAGCUGGCACAAGGCUUGGCUCUGGGGAAGUGUAUCCUUGGGAAGCUCACUCAUUUUGCUUGCUGUUGGGUCAGCCCACCAUGUCUUAAGUCUCUGUGUUAAUUGCAAAACCUCUGUCCAACACUCCAACAGGGCAAGUAAAAAAGAAGCUGCAGCAUUUUCUGGCUUUAUUUCAGCAGUUUAAUAUGGUACUUAACCUCUCUAGCUUCCUUCUGUGAGCUUUGCUUAUGUGGGUGUUGGGGAAGCUGCUUUCUGCUGUGUUCUGCCUUUUGCCUGUGCUUUUUACCUCUACUUGAUAAAGCUGCUAUUUCCACAGGAGGACCUGGAAAUCCUGGCACACUGAGCACUCAGUACCUGCCUUUGCUGGUCACCUGGGGUACUGAAGGUUCAGCCCCCUCUCAGUGAUAAGGUUUGUUGAGCCAGGGUCUGUGAGGUCUCAGAAGUAAUUUGUGAAUGUCUCUACUUAAGGGAUAGGGGUGUUUUGUAGGAAAUGCCUCAGUUCUGCUGGAGAACACUUUACCUUGGCUAUCCUCAGCCAGCCAGCCCCAUCCAAUCAAGAGGAAUUCCCCUCUGGUUUUUUAAUUAACCAUCUUCCAUAUCUGGUGUUUCCUUUUUUAGAGGAUGUGAAGAAGGCACAAACCUAAUUUUUCUGAAGCUAUUUCUCUGUGCAGACUCAGCAGCAGAAUGCUACACUUGGAUUUGGAAUAGAUACCUGGAUGCUCUGAAGGGAGAUCACUGAUUUUCCCUCCUUUACUAAGAUCCUUGUUCUUGUCAGGAGCAUGAGAUGCACAUCCCAGCACACCAAAAGGAUCCUCAAGUCAUGGAAGCCACUGCAGGCUGAAAAAUGGGAGUGGUGGACAGGAUAGGGAUAAUCUUGGCAACAUAUUCCUAGGGAUCUGGAAGGAGGGAGCUGACCACACUGAAGUGACAGAACAGCUCCAGGGCAGUAAGGGACAGCCUCUCCCUGGCCAAGCUGGGGCAUGAGGGUGACCCCAGC